This 253-nucleotide ribosomal RNA is filed under the name uncultured bacterium. Its description in RNAcentral is "partial 16S ribosomal RNA". It matches the Rfam family "Bacterial small subunit ribosomal RNA", at positions 524 to 776 of the family's 1533-position model. The record is from RNAcentral.
AGCGUAGGAGACAAACGUUAUCCGGAGUUACUGGGCGUAAAGGGCGUGUAGGUGGUUUCGUAAGUCUGGCGUGAAAUUUUUCGGCUUAACCGGGAAAGGUCGUCGGAUACUGCGGAGCCAGAGGACGGUAGAGGCGUGUGGAAUUCCGGGUGUAGUGGUGAAAUGCGUAGAGAUCCGGAGGAACACCAGUGGCGAAGGCGACACGCUGGGCCGUACCUGACACUGAUGCGCGACAGCAUGGGGAGCAAACAGG